Molecule: transfer RNA, 67 nt
Filed under: Wasmannia auropunctata (little fire ant)
Lineage: Eukaryota; Metazoa; Arthropoda; Insecta; Hymenoptera; Formicidae
Description: tRNA-Leu
Source: RNAcentral
AUUACUUUGGCAGAUUAAGUGCAUUAAAUUUAGAAUUUAAAAUAUAUAAAAUUUAUUAUAGGUAAUA